RNAcentral lists this ribosomal RNA (652 nucleotides) under Burkholderia sp. Its description in RNAcentral is "bacterial SSU rRNA". It matches the Rfam family "Bacterial small subunit ribosomal RNA", at positions 101 to 749 of the family's 1533-position model. Lineage: Bacteria; Pseudomonadati; Pseudomonadota; Betaproteobacteria; Burkholderiales; Burkholderiaceae. The record is from RNAcentral.
AACGGGUGAGUAAUACAUCGGAACGUGUCCUGGAGUGGGGGAUAGCCCGGCGAAAGCCGGAUUAAUACCGCAUACGCUCUGUGGAGGAAAGCGGGGGAUCUUCGGACCUCGCGCUCAAGGGGCGGCCGAUGGCAGAUUAGCUAGUUGGUGGGGUAAAGGCCUACCAAGGCGACGAUCUGUAGCUGGUCUGAGAGGACGACCAGCCACACUGGGACUGAGACACGGCCCAGACUCCUACGGGAGGCAGCAGUGGGGAAUUUUGGACAAUGGGGGCAACCCUGAUCCAGCAAUGCCGCGUGUGUGAAGAAGGCCUUCGGGUUGUAAAGCACUUUUGUCCGGAAAGAAAACUUCGGAGCUAAUACCUCUGGAGGAUGACGGUACCGGAAGAAUAAGCACCGGCUAACUACGUGCCAGCAGCCGCGGUAAUACGUAGGGUGCGAGCGUUAAUCGGAAUUACUGGGCGUAAAGCGUGCGCAGGCGGUUCGCUAAGACCGAUGUGAAAUCCCCGGGCUUAACCUGGGAACUGCAUUGGUGACUGGCGGGCUAGAGUAUGGCAGAGGGGGGUAGAAUUCCACGUGUAGCAGUGAAAUGCGUAGAGAUGUGGAGGAAUACCGAUGGCGAAGGCAGCCCCCUGGGCCAAUACUGACGCUCA